GUGCUCGCUUCGGCAGCACACACACUACAAUUGGACCGAUACAGAGAAGAUUAGCAGGGCCCCUGCGCAAGGAUGACACGCACGUUCGCGAAGCCUUCCAUAAAAAA
Molossus molossus (Pallas's mastiff bat) is the source of this 107-nucleotide small nuclear RNA. Lineage: Eukaryota; Metazoa; Chordata; Mammalia; Chiroptera; Molossidae. The record is from RefSeq and is a predicted model, not a curated record.